Molecule: non-coding RNA, 22 nt
Filed under: Arabidopsis thaliana (thale cress)
Lineage: Eukaryota; Viridiplantae; Streptophyta; Magnoliopsida; Brassicales; Brassicaceae
Source: RNAcentral
GGAGGUGGAACGAUUCCAUGAC